CUGAGAUCAACUGGUAAACAGUAUGACUAUGAGUCAAUCAUUUUACCCCAUAAAUAGUAAACAGCCCAAGAGCCUUUUGAGCUUUCCUGCAUAGGAGUGGGCUGUGUGACAGGACCUCCCCUUGAGUAGGAACACCUCUCAAGCAAGCUGAGACUUGCUUGCUGUGACUGAUCCUUGACAUGGCAACAUUACACUUCUGGAGCAUCACUAAAACCAAGUACAACAUCCCUGAAAAGUGAAACAUGGUCAGGAAGGAGCAACUGUCAGUUAACUUCAGGACAAAAGGAUUACACCAUGAAUCCAUGCAAGACUUAGCCAAGGCAAUUACAGGCAUCACUAACAAGAUCUGAACAGCCUCUGACACACAGAUCAAUUUAGAAAUAGAAUGCUAAGGUAACAUCCUGCCCCCAUCCACACAAAUAAAACCACCACACCUGCCCA
This 441-nucleotide long non-coding RNA is filed under the name Anas platyrhynchos platyrhynchos (common mallard). Its description in RNAcentral is "lncRNA (ENSAPLG00000026686.1)". The record is from RNAcentral. Lineage: Eukaryota; Metazoa; Chordata; Aves; Anseriformes; Anatidae.